AAGAGCCGUGUGACGGGAGACUGUCACGCACGGUUCUGUGAGAGGCUUGAGCUGGAAUGCUCAGGCCUACUCGAC
Molecule: non-coding RNA, 75 nt
Organism: Bacteroides luti
Lineage: Bacteria; Pseudomonadati; Bacteroidota; Bacteroidia; Bacteroidales; Bacteroidaceae
Source: Rfam